GUAAGUAUUUUUUUUGAGGUCCGGAAAUGCAAAACGGGGGGGGGGGUUUCGCCUCUGUAACCUGGGCCUGGCCGCAGAUCUGGUGGCUGAUGUCGCCCUGGCCCGGGCCGCGAGCGGACGCAGGGGGCGGCAGGGGACCCGGGACCGUGGGUCUCGGGCGCCCACUGAGCCGAUUCCGGCGUGGGGUCGAGGUGCAGGGAGCGCGGCGGGGAGCGAGGGCUGGACAUCACCCCGCCAGAGCGAGCGAGCGAGCGAGCGAGCGAAUAAAGUCCUGAGCCCACAGAGCGCCACAUUCACCCGGCACAGCACUGCACCCGGGAGGACGCUAGAGGGGUGACCGCGGGCCAGAAGAUGCUGCCUGGGGAGAAAGGAGUGCUGAGCGCCCAGCCGCCCUUCACGCAUGUCCUCCUGGCCCCACCGCAGCCCAGCAGUGACUGUCAUUCAGCACCUGCAUCCCAAUUUCUGGGUGCGAAAGCCCAGGUUUGGGAAGGUGGAAGCAUUUUGGGGAGGACAUAGAUUCACUGUUGUUGAGUGUGUUGUGGAGGAAGCUGCCUCAAGUUCCCUUUGAACUGUAAAUAAACCGAAGCCGUUCUGGUGGUGGAUUCACAGCAGUCCUCCGAGGGAAGGCUCCCCGUGCUGGACCAAGGCC
This 649-nucleotide long non-coding RNA is filed under the name Heterocephalus glaber (naked mole-rat). RNAcentral describes it as "lncRNA (ENSHGLG00000043340.1)". Lineage: Eukaryota; Metazoa; Chordata; Mammalia; Rodentia; Bathyergidae. The record is from RNAcentral.